RNAcentral lists this ribosomal RNA (497 nucleotides) under uncultured bacterium. Its description in RNAcentral is "partial 16S ribosomal RNA". It matches the Rfam family "Bacterial small subunit ribosomal RNA", at positions 28 to 507 of the family's 1533-position model. The record is from RNAcentral.
GAUGAACGCUGGCGGCGUGCCUAAUACAUGCCAGUCGAGCGAACAGACGAGGAGCUUGCUCCUCUGACGUUAGCGGCGGACGGGUGAGUAACACGUGGAUAACCUACCUAUAAGACUGGGAUAACUUCGGGAAACCGGAGCUAAUACCGGAUAAUAUAUUGAACCGCAUGGUUCAAUAGUGAAAGACGGUUUUGCUGUCACUUAUAGAUGGAUCCGCGCCGCAUUAGCUAGUUGGUAAGGUAACGGCUUACCAAGGCAACGAUGCGUAGCCGACCUGAGAGGGUGAUCGGCCACACUGGAACUGAGACACGGUCCAGACUCCUACGGGAGGCAGCAGUAGGGAAUCUUCCGCAAUGGGCGAAAGCCUGACGGAGCAACGCCGCGUGAGUGAUGAAGGUCUUCGGAUCGUAAAACUCUGUUAUUAGGGAAGAACAAAUGUGUAAGUAACUUUGCACGUCUUGACGGUACCUAAUCAGAAAGCCACGGCUAACUACGUG